CUCUCUCUGCAACAGUGUUCUGGCCAAGGGUUAUUUAGCUCUGGCUUCUGAGGCUCCCUCCAAUACAUGAACCUUACCGCUUUCUAUAGGUCCAAGAGCACCAGAUCCUCUGGGUCCCUGCGAGAUGGGAUGCCAUUCCAGCAAGGUCUCCGAGGUGGUCGUGGAGUCCCAGAAACCCGGAGGUCACCCUGAGGGAGGAGAGCCAAAGGUGGAUCCUGGCACCGAGGCAGCGGAUGCUACGGACACCUCAAUGAAGCAAGGCGCCCCUGAGUUGAAGAGCUGACCCUCUUUCUGGAGCGGACCCUCGCCUCUUCCCUGGAAUUGCCUUUGACCUGUGAGGUCCCACUGUGAGGAGCUAUCCUUGGAGGGUGGAGAAACCCCUGGUUAGGAUAUGACCUUCAGCAGGGCUUGCUCUCUGGCCUUGGGCAGAUGAGGGUGAGGCUUUGAUACAAUUCUAUUUCUCUAGCAUCCAGCAAAGAGGACAAAAGAUUGCUUCAUUCUUCUUGGGCCUUUCCCACAGCUUCUGCAAAGAGAAAAACAUGUGGAUUGACUCUUCUGGUCCAGACGAUAUGCUUCUGGCUGUGACUGUCAGUCACAGCCGACUGAACAGCCAGCAUCCCUGACAGGAAGCUUUUGCAUCUGGCUCUCUUCAUGUUGUUUACAUGAAUAAUUUAAUAUUUAACUUGCAGUAUCAUUAAUGAAUUAUGGGAAUGAUCGGGAUUGGACAGGAAUUCCAUGAAUGGACGGCGACAGGGCCUUGGGCUCACAGCAAGUAGAGUACUGAGGGCCAGUGGGAGGGGAGGAGAGAUUCAAGUUUCCAGUUAUUAAGUCCCCGGAAAUGCUCUCCUGCUAGCCUGGCUUCUCCUAUCAAAAGUCUGUCAAUUCGAACCCUCUAGCAUCUAAACUGUCUGCGUCUAGCCUUCAAAAAUAUUUUGCUGUUUACUAACAA
Molecule: non-coding RNA, 949 nt
Organism: Peromyscus maniculatus bairdii (prairie deer mouse)
Lineage: Eukaryota; Metazoa; Chordata; Mammalia; Rodentia; Cricetidae
Source: RefSeq, a predicted model, not a curated record